Molecule: transfer RNA, 68 nt
Filed under: bovine gut metagenome
Rfam family: tRNA
About the family: Transfer RNA (tRNA) molecules are approximately 80 nucleotides in length.
Source: RNAcentral
CAGGUGUAGUUUAAUGGUAGAAUUCCAGCCUUCCAAGCUGAUCACGUGGGUUCGAUUCCCAUCACCUG